GUAACUCUUUAAGCUUGGUCAAAUUGCCGAUUUCUUUUGGUAUGGUACCCGAAAACCAAUUAUGACUGAGAACGAGUGUUUGCAGCGAAGAAAGGUUUCCAAGAUAGGAAGGGAUGGUGCCUGUAAGGCCAAGAUCAGGAAUGGUCAAGGAUGUGACUCUAUUGCCAUAGACAUCACAAGUGAUGCCCAUCCAGCUACAAACGGAAGUAUUUGAGGUCCAAUUUUGAGCCAAAAUAUUGUUGGGAUUAUCAUUUAUUAUAUGAGCUUUUACGGAAAGAAGAGCAUCUUGGUCUCUGGAUAUGUUUGCUGCAGCUGCCACAAUAGCUGAGAAAAGAAUCAAACAAGGGACAAAGAGAUAUGGAUCGUUUCUCCCCAUGUUGAUUUUCCAAAGAACAUGCAAAUGCUAAUUAAGUAUAAAUAAUGAUACCCAAUAAUUUAUAACCAGCAGCCAAGUUGGAAUGCAUCUUUUUUAAUUUACAAUACCAGAGACCAAGUACCCAGUUUUAAUAAAUGAUCAUCUUGUUUAGUUUAUUCCACCUCCGCUAGUUGUCUAUCAAAUGAUAAUUAAUCUAUGAUGUGCCAAUCACACUAUUAUUUUUAUUAAACACAAAUUGUUAUCUUACAAUUGAGUGGUGGUUAAGUAAUUUUAGUUAUUAUGAAAUACAUCAUUCAAUAAAUGAGUGAUAUAUAAUAUUAAAAUUCAAGUUGAGAUGCAAAUGGUGAGAUCCUUAACAUUAUUAUUUUAUUUUAUUUUAUUUUAUUUUAUUUUUGGUUAAUGUAUCAUAAUUGUUAUGGCAAUCGUGCUUAUACCAGACUUCUUUGUACUAGAACUAAGCAACCCAAAACACCAGACUCUAUAAAUGCAAGAUUAGAAACCGAAACAAGGAAAUAACACAGAACAAGAAUCAAGAACUCUCAAGAAGCCAGGAAUCUAACGUGGUUCAGCUCCACAAAGGAACCUACAUCCACGGCUGCAAAUGCCAGCAAGGGCAGAGGAUUUAUUUGAUCAAGAAUGGCUGGUUACAAUGAUUUCUUCAGAACUGAUUACAAAAGACUCACAAAGCUAAACUUUUCUCUCUGUAAUGUAGUAGUCGAAAAAACUCUCUGUAAUGUAGCUUCAGAAAACAGCAUAUGUAUAUUGCUUUUCCACACGUGUGUUUCCACUAAUUGACUAACUGCUUAUUCAAUUUUUGGAUCCCACUAACUCCAGCUCAUCAGCCAGCUCAGCAAACUCAUAACAGAUUAUAACUAACUUUCGGCUUCACAAAUCUCCACCUUAGUUUUAAUCUGCUUCUGCUUCUCCCUUCACUGCUACAACAUCAGUAAGCUUGUUUCACAAGCUAACACGCCCAAUCAGACUCAGUAAAUUCCUGAAUCUGACUGAUGGCAAAGGCUUGGUUAACAUGUCAGCUGGAUUUACUUCAGUUGGCACUUUAACCACAUUCACUACUCCUUUGCUGAUUUCAUCCCCUAUGAAAUGCAUUCUGACAUCAAUAUGUUUAGUUCUCUCAUGGUACUUAGGAUUUUUACUUAGCUGAAUGGCACUAGAGCUAUCACAGCUAACUCUAACAAUUUCUUGCUCAAACCCCAAUUCAGUAACCAGCCCCCUUAGCCAUAUUGCUUCUUUAACAGCUUCUGUAAGUGCUAUAUACUCAGCUUCUGUUGUUGAGAGAGCAACCACUGAUUGAAGAGAGGACUUCCAGCUUAUGGCACCUCCACACAUAGUAAACACAAAACCUGUUAUGGACCUCCUUCUAUCUUUGUCUGCUGCAUAGUCUGAGUCCACAAACCCAGCCACUUCAGAUGAUGCUUCACUUGUUUUACCAAACAUGAUGGCAGUGACAGUAGACCCUUAAAGAUAUCUUAGUACCCACUUCACUGCAUUCCAAUGACCCUUCCCUGGAUUCCCCAUAAACCUACUGAUGACUCCAAUUGCAUGAGCUAAGUCAGGUCUGGUGCAUACCAUGGCAUACAUGAUGCUGCCAACUGCACUGGAGUAAGGUAUCUCCCUCAUGUAGUUAAAAUCAUCAUCUGUUGUAGGUUCCAGUGACUUAGAUAACUGGAAGUGAGCUGACAAAGGUGUUGAAACAGGUUUUGAAUCUUCCAUGUUGAACCUGGUUAACACCUUCUUCACAUAAUCAGCUUGUGAUAGAAACAGAACUUUGGAUUUCCUGUCUCUUAUUAUCUGCAUACCCAGAAUUUUGGUAGCUGCACCCAAAUCCUUCAUUUCAAAUUCAGUGUUAAGCUCUACCUUAAGCUUCUUUAUUUCUUCCUUUUGGCUGCAAGCAAUAAGUAUGUCAUCCACAUAAAGAAGCAAAUAGAUGCCUCCACCACUUGAUGAGAGUUUAUAAUACACACAGUUAUCAAAUCUACUUCUGCAGUACCCAUGGCUUAUCAUAAACUCAUCAAACUUCAAAUACCAUUGCCUUGGGGAUUGCUUGAGACCAUACAAGCUCUUCUUCAAUAGGCACACCUUGUCCUCUGACCCUUUCUCAAUGAACCCUUUUGGUUGUGCCAUGAAAAUUUCUUCAUCAAGACUGCCAUGUAAGAAUGUAGUCUUGACAUCCAUCUGCUCCAGCUCCAGGUCAUGAAAUGCAGAGAGGGCCAGCAGCAACCUAAUUGAGCUGUAUUUGACUACAUCACUAUUAUUUUUAUUAAACACAAAUUGUUAUCUUACAAUUGAGUGGUGGUUAAGUAAUUUUAGUUAUUAUGAAAUACAUCAUUCAAUAAAUGAGUGAUAUAUAAUAUUAAAAUUCAAGUUGAGAUGCAAAUGGUGAGAUCCUUAACAUUAUUAUUUUAUUUUAUUUUAUUUUAUUUUAUUUUUGGUUAAUGUAUCAUAAUUGUUAUGGCAAUCGUGCUUAUACCAGACUUCUUUGUACUAGAACUAAGCAACCCAAAACACCAGACUCUAUAAAUGCAAGAUUAGAAACCGAAACAAGGAAAUAACACAGAACAAGAAUCAAGAACUCUCAAGAAGCUAGGAAUCUAACGUGGUUCAGCUCCACAAAGGAACCUACAUCCACGGCUGCAAAUGCCAGCAAGGGCAGAGGAUUUAUUUGAUCAAGAAUGGCUGGUUACAAUGAUUUCUUCAGAACUGAUUACAAAAGACUCACAAAGCUAAACUUUUCUCUCUGUAAUGUAGUAGUCGAAAAAACUCUCUGUAAUGUAGCUUCAGAAAACAGCAUAUGUAUAUUGCUUUUCCACACGUGUGUUUCCACUAAUUGACUAACUGCUUAUUCAAUUUUUGGAUCCCACUAACUCCAGCUCAUCAGCCAGCUCAGCCAACUUAUAACAGAUUAUAACUAACUAUUUGGCUUCACAAUAAUCUCUCUCAGUUAGAAGGCCCAUAUUUUCCUAUUUAUAAAAUUCAUACCUUGUAACCUUUAAAUCUCAAGAAUUCAAAUCUGACAGACAGCUCGGCAUUGAGAUACUGCAAAAGAUACGACCAAUUCAUAUAUCCUAGUCUUAUGUUUUUCUUUAAUAUUGCAUGACAAAUCUAGUUACUUGUACUUUCAACAUUACAUGAUAAAUCGAGCUACUUGUAUUUACAAAUUAAAGAUCAAUUAAAAUCUCCUAAAUUAAUUCUUUAAUUUUGCAAAUUUAGAUAUCAAUGGACUCAAUCUCAACUCUCUUUUCAUAUGUAUGAAUAAGAAAAUAGUUCACUAUUUGAACGUCAUAUAUGAUUCUUGAUUUAAAUUUUAUAUCCUUUUAAAUAUGACAUUGAUUACUAAUGACCGAAUGUGAGGUUGUCGUUGUUGUGCGUGUGUGUGUACAUAUAUAUAUAUAUAUAUUUUUUCUAAUGAAGACAUCCGCACUUUCUUAAAGUGAGAGUGUACAUUAAAAUAUAAAAAAAUAUUGAUUUCAAUAUAUUAGAGAAUUUGAGACCCCUCUCACUGAUAUGAGCUAGUCUCAUGUGCCAAAGCUUGGUUUUAUCUCUGGUCACACUAGCUGAGAUUCCUUGCACAGGUGAGGAACCAACCAGUAUGUACAGCCCAUUCUUUCUAACCCCUUUCAUUACAAUUUUACCCUGAUCAAAGAUCUGUAUCUCUCCAUUUUCUGCCUUAAUGGUACAGCCUGAUUGGUCAACCAUUCCUAGAGAUAUUAAGUUUCUUUUCAGAUCAGGGACAUAUCUCACUUGGUGCAAAUCUCUAGUGACACCAUUAUGCAACUUCAAGCUAAUGGUUCCUAUUCCAACCACCUUGCAAGCUAGGUUAUUUCCUAACAAUACCUUCCCUCCAUUUACACUUUCAAAUAUUAUGACUGAGAACGAGUGUUUGCAGCGAAGAAAGGUUUCCAAGAUAGGAAGGGAUGGUGCCUGUAAGGCCAAGAUCAGGAAUGGUCAAGGAUGUGACUCUAUUGCCAUAGACAUCACAAGUGAUGCCCAUCCAGCUACAAACGGAAGUAUUUGAGGUCCAAUUUUGAGCCAAAAUAUUGUUGGGAUUAUCAUUUAUUAUAUGAGCUUUUACGGAAAGAAGAGCAUCUUGGUCUCUGGAUAUGUUUGCUGCAGCUGCCACAAUAGCUGAGAAAAGAAUCAAACAAGGGACAAAGAGAUAUGGAUCGUUUCUCCCCAUGUUGAUUUUCCAAAGAACAUGCAAAUGCUAAUUAAGUAUAAAUAAUGAUACCCAAUAAUUUAUAACCAGCAGCCAAGUUGGAAUGCAUCUUUUUU
RNAcentral lists this long non-coding RNA (4666 nucleotides) under Citrus sinensis (sweet orange). RNAcentral describes it as "long non-coding RNA (CSIN_LNC005030)". The record is from RNAcentral. Lineage: Eukaryota; Viridiplantae; Streptophyta; Magnoliopsida; Sapindales; Rutaceae.